AGAGUUUGAUCCUGGCUCAGGACGAACGCUGGCGGCGUGCCUAACACAUGCAAGUCGAACGAAGCAUAGUAAUAUGCUUAGUGGCGGACGGGUGAGUAACGCGUGAACAAUCUGCCCUGUACAGAGGAAUAGCCUCGGGAAACCGGGAUUAAAACCGCAUGACACUUUUCUUUCGCAUGAAGGAGAAGUCAAAUUGAUUAAGAGGUAUGGGAUGAGUUCGCGUCUGAUUAGCUAGUUGGUGAGGUAAUGGCUCACCAAGGCGACGAUCAGUAGCCGGCCUGAGAGGGUGAACGGCCACACUGGGACUGAGACACGGUCCAGACUCCUACGGGAGGCAGCAGUGGGGAAUAUUGCACAAUGGAGGAAACUCUGAUGCAGCGACGCCGCGUGAGUGAAGAAGGUCUUCGGAUCGUAAAACUCUGUCCUUGGUGAAGAUAAUGACGGUAGCCAAGGAGGAAGCCCCGGCUAACUACGUGCCAGCAGCCGCGGUAAUACGUAGGGGGCGAGCGUUGUCCGGAUUUACUGGGCGUAAAGGGUGAGUAGGCGGUUGCAUAUGUCAGAUGUAAAAGGCACAGGCUUAACUUGUGUUAGCAUUUGAAACUGUGCGACUUGAGUGCAGGAGAGGCAAGUGGAAUUCCUAGUGUAGCGGUGAAAUGCGUAGAUAUUAGGAGGAACACCAGUGGCGAAGGCGACUUACUGGACUGUAACUGACGCUGAGUCACGAAAGCGUGGGUAGCAAACAGGAUUAGAUACCCUGGUAGUCCACGCUGUAAACGAUGAGUGCUAGGUGUUGGCCAGCGAUGGUCAGUGCCGCAGUUAACACAUUAAGCACUCCGCCUGGGGAGUACGGUCGCAAGACUGAAACUCAAAGGAAUUGACGGGGACCCGCACAAGCAGCGGAGCAUGUGGUUUAAUUCGAAGCAACGCGAAGAACCUUACCAAGGCUUGACAUCCCCUUGACCGGCACAGAGAUGUGCCCUCUCCUUCGGGAGUAAGGGUGACAGGUGGUGCAUGGUUGUCGUCAGCUCGUGUCGUGAGAUGUUGGGUUAAGUCCCGCAACGAGCGCAACCCUUAUCCUUAGUUGCCAGCAAGUUAAGUUGGGCACUCUAGGGAGACUGCCGAUGAUAAAUCGGAGGAAGGUGGGGAUGACGUCAAAUCAUCAUGCCCCUUAUGUCUUGGGCUACACACGUGCUACAAUGGUCGGUACAACGGGAAGCGAAAGAGUGAUCUGGAGCAAAUCCCAAUAAACCGAUCUCAGUUCGGAUUGUAGGCUGCAACUCGCCUACAUGAAGUCGGAGUUGCUAGUAAUCGCGAAUCAGAACGUCGCGGUGAAUGCGUUCCCGGGUCUUGCACACACCGCC
RNAcentral lists this ribosomal RNA (1361 nucleotides) under bacterium enrichment culture clone T12RRH100B4. RNAcentral describes it as "bacterial SSU rRNA". It matches the Rfam family "Bacterial small subunit ribosomal RNA". The record is from RNAcentral.